This is a long non-coding RNA of Gossypium arboreum, 568 nucleotides long. RefSeq lists it as uncharacterized. The transcript has 2 exons. The record is from RefSeq and is a predicted model, not a curated record. Lineage: Eukaryota; Viridiplantae; Streptophyta; Magnoliopsida; Malvales; Malvaceae.
UUUCCAAGCUACAGACCGAAUACCCAAUUGUUAAGGUUUCGGCGCAGCAACCUUUAUCCCCUAGGGCCAUUUAAUCAUCAGUUCACCCUUAAAAUUGGUGAGUGACGUAGAAGCCUUCUUUGUUUCCAUCAAAAUCGACACUUAAAAGCCAUUUCCACUUGCAUCUCUAACCCCGACUUUGACGGAGAAGACGAGAUCUCAUCGAUGCAUCCGCAAAGGUACCGAGUACAGGACUGUGCUGGCGCUUGGCGUGAGGCGUACGGAGGGGCGCGUGGUGGUCGUAUGGUGCUGAAGGCGCAUGGAGACUGAACGUGGCUGCGGCGCAAAGGGGAACAAAACCCUAGGUUUUCUAUUCCUGAAAUGUUUCGGGCCUUUUGGGCCGAUAUAACUUUGGGUCUGGGUUUAUCUGUAAAUGGGCUUGUUAUUUGGGUCUUGGGUCAUGUAAUUGGGCCAGGACAUUUAAUGGACUGUUAAUAUUUUUUUGUUUAUUAUUUUGUAUUUUGGGUUCUUCUUCGGGCCCGGGCAAAUUGGCCUAUUUACAAUAUAAAUAGCCCACUAUUCACUCAAA